AACUUUUGACAACGGAUCACUUGGCUCUCGCAUCGAUGAAGAACGCAGCGAAAUGCGAUAAGUAAUGUGAAUUGCAGAAUUCAGUGAAUCAUCGAAACUUUGAACGCACCUUGCGCUCCUUGGUAUUCCGAGGAGCAUGCCUGUUUGAGUGUCAUUAAUAUAUAUAUCAACCUUCUUUUGUUGAAUGGUUUGGAUGUGGGGGUUUGCUGGCCUCUUAAAAAGGGUUCAGCUCCCCUGAAAUGCAUUAGCAGAAUGACCUGUUCAUUGGUGUGAUAACUAUCUACGCUAUUGAAUGAGGGGCAGUUCAGCUUUCUAACGGUCCUUGGGACAAUUCAUCAUUAAUGUGACCUCAAAUCAGGUAGGACUACCCGCUGAACUUAAGCAUAUCAAUAAGCGGAGGCU
Molecule: unclassified non-coding RNA, 402 nt
Filed under: uncultured Cortinarius
Lineage: Eukaryota; Fungi; Basidiomycota; Agaricomycetes; Agaricales; Cortinariaceae
Description: sequence contains ITS2
Rfam family: 5.8S ribosomal RNA (bases 1-154)
Source: RNAcentral